Molecule: non-coding RNA, 29 nt
Filed under: Mus musculus (house mouse)
Lineage: Eukaryota; Metazoa; Chordata; Mammalia; Rodentia; Muridae
Source: RNAcentral
AGGGUCACUUUGGGUGCUGACACCAUUGU